UUUCACCUGUGGAACAGCGAGUAAGCCAGCAACUUUAGAAUGCAAAUACAGACCAAUAAAGCCAAAUUGAUAUUAUAACACAAUUUAUUUGUUGAAAAUAUUUUGUAUUGUUACACUGAAUCCACAAAGUAACUAGAUACAUAAAUGUCGUGGAGUAAAAAGUACAACAGGAGAACAGAAAUACAAAGUAGCACUGUAGACUAGAUGUAUAUAGUGGUAAAGCACGAAUACCUCAAAUUUAUACUUAAGUAAAGCACUUAAGUUAAUGUAGGGGCAAAGAUGAGACCAAAGUUUUUGGCUUUUUCAUUC
Molecule: long non-coding RNA, 309 nt
Organism: Thalassophryne amazonica
Lineage: Eukaryota; Metazoa; Chordata; Actinopteri; Batrachoidiformes; Batrachoididae
Exons: 2
Source: RefSeq, a predicted model, not a curated record